CUGGACUGGAGCUAAUAUUUUUCCACCCACCUGCCGUCGGGAGGGGGAGGCCUUCAAUAUUUAAACACCUCCCCGCAGCCGCCCCCCCCCCGGAUCCCUUUUCCCUCCCGCCGUCGAGGAACCGGAUCCGGCAGCGGCUCAGGUGUCCGGUGGCUUUUGCCGCCUGCGAGGUGUCCGGUUAGCGACAGCAGGUAAGUGGACCCGGGGCUGCGCGAAGGGGGGGGGCCUCCGUGGGCUGCGGGGCGUCCCAUAAAUUCCCUCCGGCGCUAGCUCGGAGAAGUCCUGGCCCCGGCCCAGGCCCGGGCGCCCGUCGCCCCGUCCAGCAGCCGCGUCCCCCGGCAGCGACCGGCAGCCCCNACGACGUGCAUCCGAGGCCUCAAGCCCGCCCCGACGCGAGCAGGUAGGCGCGGGUGCUCCCGGCCGCAAUCGGGGGACUCGGGGCGGCGGGACAAGAAGUGGCUUGCAGCAAGGGGCAGAGGGCUGGGGGGGGCAGGAGCCAGCAAGGUCCCAGAGCGCCCCUCGGGGACUGAAGAGGCGGAGAGGGCGCAGGUGAGUGGAGCCGUCGCGCUUGCGGGAGACCAGCCCCGGUCCAGGCGGAGGGGACGCGCCGAGCGAGCUCCUCGGGGCCAGAGGCCCUUGUGCCCGUCUGGACGGGGUCCGUGUCAGGAGGAAAGGGGUGACCCCGCAGACACGGGUCCUGCAAGCUCCCGAGAGCACNUCGGACGCCCCGCGGGUUCUGGGGUGUCCGAACGUCCGUGCGGAGGCGGCUCUGAGGCUCCGCUCCGUCGGAUCUUCCCUUCUCCUGCGCGCCUUGAGCUUUCAAGAAGUCUGGGCGGUUCCUCCGCGUCCGGGACUUGUCGUCGGGGCGCUUUGCACACGAUGUACACACACCCUCAGCUAGACCAAGACCCGCCAGUAGGGACCCCGGACAUGCCUGGACACAAGGAGGGGGGCGGAAGAGGGGCCACUCGCGUGUUCAGCUGGGCGUCUGAAAAAGACCAAGCGGGCGCCUAAGAGAGGAGAAACCCGUCCGGCCAGGGACACGAUCUACCUCAGAGGGCCCAAUCUUAAUCCAGCUUCAGUCCAGUUCGAAUCGUUU
This 1099-nucleotide long non-coding RNA is filed under the name Salvator merianae (Argentine black and white tegu). Its description in RNAcentral is "lncRNA (ENSSMRG00000013543.1)". Lineage: Eukaryota; Metazoa; Chordata; Lepidosauria; Squamata; Teiidae. The record is from RNAcentral.